Molecule: non-coding RNA, 1557 nt
Organism: Oryza sativa Japonica Group (Japanese rice)
Lineage: Eukaryota; Viridiplantae; Streptophyta; Magnoliopsida; Poales; Poaceae
Source: RefSeq, a predicted model, not a curated record
AGUUCUGCUAAACUGUUGAUGGAAGUUCUCCAUCAUGGAACUAUUUGCCUGUACCUAUGCUAGACUGUUACUAAUAAUCAUGUUUCAGAUGUGAUAUAUUAGGUAGUUCAAUUCUCUAUACUGCAUAUACUAGAAAUCUUGUUUCAGAUGGCAGACAUUAGAAUUAUUGGUCAGAAGAUCAGACAAGUGGAGGUGUUUGUAAGGAGUUAUAGUAAUUCCUUGUAUAAGCAGUUACAGGAAAAAAAUAGAAAUAUGCCGAAUCGCCCAUUGCAGUUUAAGUUUCCAUUUAUACUAAGCGAGCUUUUGAUUUGUACAGCUCUUGCAGUAUUUAACUGAGAAUUUGUUAUUCAUGGAUGAGAAUUCUGGUAUAUGGCGUGUAACUUCAGUUUCAUUUUUUCCAGUUGACAAGAUAGGAUGACCCUUAUACUACUGACAAAAUGCAAGGAGAUGAAUAUUCCAUUAUCGUUUUUUGCACAAUGUAAGUAUCAGAAGCUGAGCACACUUGCUACCAUUUGGAUUUAUUAAUGUGUUUUAACUUCUCAUAUCAGAGCUCCUUCUUGUUAAAAUGGACAGAGAUUCCAGCUUGACAUGGCUAUUGUGCAAAGACACUUGCUUUGUGUGUCCAGAUGUGCUAUUUCCAAUGUUUCCUCCAGGAUCAGUUAUAAGCUGGUCUAGAUUCUCAGAUUUGCUCAGUAAUGCAUUCAUAUCAUUAUCGUAAUUCAUUUAUGUAUUGAUUGGUUUAAACCUUGUAUUUUGCGGGCUCUCAACAUGAAUGAAACAAGCUAAGAGUUGUAUGACAUUUAGUUGAGGACUAGUACAAAACUAUACAGCUUUCUUGUAGUUUUUUGCCGCAAGCUUUCUUGUAGUUGUAUACAUGUUUAGGGUUUAGAUGGGAUUACUUUUUACGCAUUUGCUUAAUUGUUCAAUAUAUAUUCAUACCACAUUUGCAUCCAAACAUUUGGAUUCUCUAGAUAAGAUAUAGUAGUCAGGGAGGUAUUGUUGCUUAUAUUCCACACUAUUGUUCUAAUACAUGCACGAUACAAGUUAUAUAUGCGUUACAGUACAUUUCUGAGUAAUUGAACUUAACCCACUGUUUGCAUGAAUAGAUAUUCACCCAUCUGUUUUGUUCAUGUAGUUGGUUUCUUCUGUAUUAACCAAUAAAUACUAUUUUACCAUCAAGAAAGAGGUAGAAGAAUCACACGAAGCAAGGAAGCAACAGCUGGAAGAUAUUGAAAUUUUAAAGAAGUCACCGAAGGAGACAAAUGACCUUCGUCGGCUGAUUGGCCUUAACACUCUUGUGGUUAGCCUCAUGCUGAUUCAUGCUGAGAUGACUAGUUUUGUGGUUGGUGUGAUCUGGACAUGUGACUUUGUUUUUGUUGGUGAAUGUAAACGACUAUUUGGACAAGUGACGUCAUUUUGGUCACAAUGACGUUGGCUGGAUUUUGGUCGGCGAUGAUAUGCUCAAUGUACUGAUGUUGUAUCGAUGUAAUUGAACCUGUUUUGGUUACUGAACUUGUGAUGUUUGUGUUCAUUAAUGAAUCUGUGAUUAUAUUGGGA